RNAcentral lists this ribosomal RNA (403 nucleotides) under uncultured bacterium. Its description in RNAcentral is "partial 16S ribosomal RNA". It matches the Rfam family "Bacterial small subunit ribosomal RNA", at positions 28 to 526 of the family's 1533-position model. The record is from RNAcentral.
GACGAACGCUGGCGGCGUGCCUAAUACAUGCAAGUCGAACGCAGUGGGGACGGGUGAGUAACACGUGGGUAACCUCCCAUCAGAGGAGAUAACACUUGGAAACAGGUGCUAAACCGAUACUGAUGGAUGGACCCGCGGUGCAUUAGCUAGUGGGUGAGGUAACGGCUCACCAAGGCCACGAUGGAUAGCCGACCUGAGAGGGUGAUCGGCCACACUGGGACUGAGACACGGCCCAGACUCCUACGGGAGGCAGCAGUGGGGAAUAUUCGGCAAUGGACGAAAGUCUGACGGAGCAACGCCGCGUGAGUGAAGAAGGUUUUAGGAUCGUAAAACUCUGUUGGUAGAGAAGCGGUAUCUAAAGAGAAAGCCACGGCUAACUACGUGCCAGCAGCCGCGGUAAUUC